AGAAUCAACGCUGGCGGCGUGCCUAACACAUGCAAGUCGCACGAGAAAGGGGAGCAAUCCCUGAGUAAAGUGGCGCACGGGUGAGUAACACGUGAAUAAUCUACCUCCGAGUGGGGAAUAACUGAGAGAAAUCUUAGCUAAUACCGCAUAACACUUACGAGUCAAAGCAGCAAUGCGCUUGGAGAGGAGUUCGCGGCCGAUUAGUUAGUUGGCGGGGUAAUGGCCCACCAAGACGAUGAUCGGUAUCCGGCCUGAGAGGGCGCACGGACACACUGGAACUGAAACACGGUCCAGACUCCUACGGGAGGCAGCAGUGGGGAAUUUUGCGCAAUGGGGGAAACCCUGACGCAGCAACGCCGCGUGGAGGAUGAAAUCCCUUGGGAUGUAAACUCCUUUCGAUAGGGAAGAUAAUGACGGUACCUAUAGAAGAAGCCCCGGCUAACUUCGUGCCAGCAGCCGC
RNAcentral lists this ribosomal RNA (460 nucleotides) under uncultured bacterium. RNAcentral describes it as "SSU rRNA". It matches the Rfam family "Bacterial small subunit ribosomal RNA", at positions 26 to 518 of the family's 1533-position model. The record is from RNAcentral.